AGUGGGUAGAAUUUGUAUCCCCAUUUUAAUAAUGAGAAAAGUGAGGCUUAGAGAGGUACAGUAAUUUACCCAAGAUUGCACAGCUAAGAUCUGGUGGAGGCAUGCACACAGGGCCCUCUGACCAUGGGCUCUAAAUCACUGUACUAUGUUCCCUUCCAUAGGCCUCAAUCAGUCAUGUAAUAUUUGACCUGGUCGUUAUCUUAGGUAUUAUCUAGACCACAGAUUUUGGAUGCAGUUCUCUGGCUGAAGACCUCUGAGCUAGGAUAACCCCUUCUCUUUUGACAGACGAGUCAGAGAAUCAGAUCAGUGAUAGAAGUGGAGUGCCAAUCCUGAGUAUCACCUCUACUCAAGUGCUCAACAUAUCCCUAGAUCCUCAAUUCCCUGGCAAAAGUGAUUGGAUGGAACCACAGGCUUCCAAGAGGGGACAGUCAAGCAUUAAAUACGAGAAUGCACAUAUAACUCUUGGUGCAAUGUUUAGCACAUACUAAGCCUGCAAUACAUGCUAAUCCCUUUGAGCAAAUCCACAUGGCCAGUUUCUGUGCUCAGGGGUGAGAAUAGCUGGGCUGUGAUUGGGGCAGGGGGAGCACUAAGUGGGAGGGACUUCCUGUCUCAGGUCCCUGCCAUCUUGACUGACAUGCUGCAGCCCUUGCCAAAACCCAUGGGUCAGAAUGAAAGUAAAGUGCCGUUGAAAACCUUGCAAUCCACCUUUAAAACUGCCGGGUGUAGUAAAACAAUUGCUUGCCCCAAAUAAAUGACUUAUCAUUGCUGUUGGUUGUCUGCGUUUCUCUUUAAUUAUAGGCCCUCUUUGAACGCUCAAACACACAGGGCCUUUGUAAGCUUGAACUCCCUGUCUCACACACAGUCCUCCCAUACCCAUACACUCUCUUUCAUUUGCAGAGUAUAAACACCCAUCUCUCACUCAUUCACAUAAUGAAUUUCAGCUCCUUGUGUCCCAAUCAAGGAGAGGCCUCACUGGAAUUAUGGGCAUCUGAGCCAUCUUCAUGUUCCAAGGCCCCAGGGGGCGCUUCCAAGAGUGGAUCCUUUAUGGGGAGAAGAUAAUGGGCAAAAAGUGCUCUUCACUGAUGGACCAGUCCCAGCCUUUUCUCUCCUUGGACAAUAGAGUUCUUCCCUUGAACAGCCACUUCCCUAAAAAAAAUUCCAAAAUUCUCCCACAUCAUCCCCUUUAUGCUUAAAAUCAUCACACACUCCCUUCUUUGUCCUCCCCUCUUGCAAACUCAACUCAGAGCCCUUUGGCUCCAGAAAGAUUUUCUAGGUAUCAGGAGAGAGUAGCAAAGCCUCCCUCCUCUCCUUGCCUUUCUCCCUUGUCAGAGAAAGAAGUUGAUUCUGCGGAGAGGUAAGAAGGAUCUUGAGGUCUAGAGCCUGAAAAACUCCUUGGGCUGUUCUCCAAACUAGAUGGGAACAUAAGGUGCGAUUGCAUCUUCUCCAGCUGAUACUCACUCGGCCUCCUAUGCCAGUCCCCAGUCCAGGGUUUGGUCAAGGGUCAAAUGAGAUAAUUUCAUGGAGGAAGCCUGGCCCGAUUUUUCUACUGUUUGCUGGAAGACAGCCUCUUCCUCUUGUAACUGCAGCCCCAGAACCUGAUCUCCACAUCCCUGCCAGGCAGGUAGCUGUGUACAAGGGCUCAUCUUCCUGCCCCCAACCCCAGCUCUGAUUUGCUUAUUCAGGUGGUGUAAAUACUUCUACCAGGACCUAUUUCAAGCCAUUGUGAUGUCCCUGACUGGGGAGAUGCAGGGCAGCACACCAUUUAAUAUUUCCCUCACAUUUCCACCCCAUUCUGCACUCUUUUCUGGGAGUUGCUGUCUCAGAGGGUUGGCGGUUCUGGUGGCUCAAGACCAUAAGUAAUUAUCAAAUACUUAGGAAGCGACGGGUUUUGAGUAUUUAUUACCUUUUAAAAAUGUACUUUGUGGCUAGGCAUGGUGGCUCACGCCUGUAGUCCCCGCACCGGGAGGCCGAGGUGGGUGGAUUGCUUGAGCUCAGGAGUUCAAGACCAGCCUGGGCAACACGGCGAAACCCAGUCUCUACCAAAAAUACACACACACACACACACACACACACACACACACACACACACACACAAAUUGGCCUAGCGUGGUGUCGUGUGUCUGUGGUCGCAGUUACUCAGGAGACCAAGGUAGGAGGUAGGAAACCAAGGUAGGAGGAUCACCCGAGGUCGGUAGUUCGAGACCAGCCUGACCA
This 2214-nucleotide long non-coding RNA is filed under the name Homo sapiens (human). RNAcentral's name for it is "HSALNT0183446". The record is from RNAcentral. Lineage: Eukaryota; Metazoa; Chordata; Mammalia; Primates; Hominidae.